AUGUUCAACAAGUGUUGGCUUCAUCCUUAAAUAGGGGCCACCUGAUUCACACCUGUUUCUUCACAAAAUUGAUGACCUCAGUGACUGAAUGCCACACUGCUAUUUUUUUGAACACACCCCUUUCAACUAAUUCAACUAAUUGCCCAAUUGCACAGCCUUAAGAGCGUGCAUAUCAUGAAUGCUGGGUCUCAUUUGUUUUCUGAGAAUCUACUGAACCUACUGGUAACUUGUUUGCCACGUAGCAAUAAAAAAAUAUACGAAAAACCUUGAUUAUUCUGGUUAGUCACAUUGUACUGCUAUUAUUUUGAACAAUACUGUAUAACUUAUCAGAGUGGGUGUUUCCUCAGAGACAAAGGAACUUUUUCCCGCUUCAGAUUGCGGACGUUCAUUGGAUGUGCACACAAACAGAGGUGUGAACCAGUCCAUCCAUAAGAAGAACUGACACAGGAAGUUCGCUCUCUUGCUCUUGUCUACCUUCUCCUCAUCUCUGCACUUCCGUCGGGUAGUUGAUCUCAGCACGGCGGCUGAGAGAACAGCCUGUUCUCAUGUGUCCUUCGGGAGCUUUCAUCUCCGUUGUUUUCGUUUCUUUUCCUUACUAAGUUUAUUCUCUUAUUCGCUUCUCCCCAUGAGGGAGAAGAACUCUGAAUCAUUGCAUUUGUUGGACCUUUCAUUCGCAGCAGCCCCGGAAGGCACGAGAGAACCCGCCCAGCUCCAAAAGAACAACAAACGCACGCUCAUCUGGCGAGUCACAAAAGAGACCCCUUGCAAUUAUCAUUCUCUAUGGAGAUUUAAAUGCUGCUUAAAGUUUGUCUAUUACCUUUUCAAGUCUCUCUGUCUCUUUUGGCAACACAGAUUCCCUUUACUGUCUCAGACUCGUCCAUGGUGCUCGCUGGAUCGGGUCCAGAUUGGAGAAGGAAGGGCGGGAAUCAUCCUUGUGAAUGAGGAUGGACGACACAGAUGGUGGAUUUGGAGCGUUGUGAAUUCAGAGAAGUGUGAUUUCCUUUUCCUGGCUGCAGAAGUAGCGGAGGAAAGAGGUAGGUAAUCCUGGCUCAGGAUGGAAGAGUUGGACCAGGAUGAAAGUAAAGACCUCAGCACAGAAGAAAGAAUGAAUGAGGCUUUACCACAAGGGUGACUUCUGGAUAAUGUCUGCUUGAGAAUCAAUGUGCAGAAGUGUUUGUCGGGGAGCCGGUGAUAUGAGAAGGCUUUGUUGAGAAGAAGUUGACAUAAUCUUACUUAAAUGUUCUUGUAGGUUUCUGAAUAAACCAGUACAUUCUAAAUAUUCUUGCUGUGUUCAUAUUCACUCAUAAAAGCAGAAGUGAAUAAUUUUAAAUGCAAUAUUUAUUUUAGAUGAAUGUAUUAUUUAUGGGUGACCCCAAAUAGUAGUGGAUUAGAUGUUUCGAUUUGAGGAGCCUGAUUCGACCACCAAUCUCACAGUCAAAUAUUCGCAGGCUGUUAUGAUUAUGCCAUUUUGACUAUAUGUGAGUGCUCAAAUGUCUGAUUUCACAUAGAACUUGGCUUUCUCCCAAUAAGUUACAGUAAUAUGCAGCCUAUUGUGAUAAAGCCAAGAAUAAGAAUCUGAGUAUUAAGCUUCAAAUAAAUAUUUGAAAGUGGGUGAAUAAAUCCAACCACCCCUAUAGAUUUUUGUUUCACUUUCCAUAAUCCGUGACUGACAGAGGAGCAUCUUGGCGGCAGGGAUUUAAAACUUUACCAAGACUCAAACUGACACUGGAUUUUGGAUUUUUUUUUUUGUUUUGUUUUUUUUUUUUAGGUAGGGUACAAGUCAAUAAAUCAAUCAAUCACCUUUAUUUAUAUAGUGCUUUAAGCAAAAUACAUUGCGUCAAAGCACUGAACAACAUUCAUUUGGAAAACAUUGUGUCAAUAAUGCAAAAUGAUAGUUAAAGGCAGUUCAUUAUUGAAUUCAGUUAUGUCAUCCCUGUUCAGUUUAAAUAGUGUCUGUGCAUUUAUUUGCAAUCAAUCAAUACAAGUGAUUUCAAAACAUUUCAGCCGGUGUAUAUAUAUUGUGGAUAUAUUAUUUACCUGAUAUAAGAUGCAUUUGGUUUUGAGUCAAGCACUUCAUUGUAGUACUAUGGUGAUAUCUCUUCAGCGCGCAGCACGAGCAGGUCAAACAAAGCAGACAAUUUAUAAAUAUGACUGCGACUGUCACACACAUACCAUUAUAAUGAGAACAUCUUUUUAAUAAAACGCUGUGAAUUUUUAGAGGUUAGCUGCUGUGUUUCUGCACAUUGUUUCAUGAAGAACGUGAGAGCACUAUUGUAAAAAUUUUCACUUGUUAGGGUUUCGCUGACGUUUAGCCUGUGUGUUAACAUCAGUAAUUAUGACUGUCAAAUGUCUGACUAGACUCAAUGUGUUUUGCCCCGCCCCGAAACAUAUGAUUCUAUCAUCAGUCGAAUAUCAGAAAUAUUCUAAAAUUCCGAUUUGACUAUGAAAAUCCUUAGUCGGGGACACCCCUAGUAUUAUUUAUUGUAGACUGUCAAAUUCUUCAAAUGUUAUUGUCUGAAAGCUUGAAUGGGGAGAAAGCCAUCUGAAACAUUUAAUGCAGAUUACUAUGCAUAUCGAGAAGGAAAACAAAGCAUAAAAUAUGCUUAUGAAACAAUAGUCAAAGGUGUUGAAUAAUUUAUUAUUAAAACAUCAGACUUUGUAUGUAUCAAAAGCCUUUGUUAGAGCUUGUAGUGCCCAAAGGUCUUUAUCACUAAUGUCAGCCUUAACUGAAUUUCUGAAAUUAAAAUGGCAGGGGGUCAUUGUGUUCAGAGCAUAUAGUAAAAAUGUCUGUAGCUUUGUUUUCUCUGUCUUCUCAUUUUUAAUUUCCUUGACUUUAAAGCAUUUGUCUCAGACAAGUCUUGAUGGUAGAUUAAAUGAGUGUUGUAUACUUAGCUGGCAAAGAAAACUGUCAUGGCAUUGUUAAGAUGGCACAGCACCUGCUAAAUGAAAUGUCCAGUUCCGUGAUGAGAUCUACCAAAUAAUCUGAACACACAGUAAGUUAAACAUGCAUUGAAUUAGCCUUUUAGUUAAAGAGCCAGUGUCUUGACAUAUACUUUAUUUUCUCAAAGGUCAUGAGUAUCACAUCAAAGAUGGCAGCAAAACUUAAAUACAAAUAUUGACUGGACCUGACUGGUUGCAAUGUAUGGUCUUGAUUCACUGAAAAUAACUGGCUCAUAGAAGUAAUUCGUUUUGCAGUCAGACUUAACUCGAUUGUAGUGUCUGUACUGCUGUUGAUUCUGUAGCGGUGUUGCGAUACUAUUAAAUAAGUAGUUGAAGAAGCUCUGCCUAAGCAUUUUAGUGCUGUAUAUUCCAUCAACAUUGGUAAGAGAAUGCAUGUGUGAGAACCAUUAAAAGAACUGAAACUUGUUUAUUUAUUUAUUUAUGUAUUAUUAUUAUUAUUAUUAUGUUAUCCAGUUACAUUUUAAAAUGUUAUUCGGUUCAGGUAUUUAAAAAAAAUAAUAAACUCAAUAACUCUGUUCCCAACCCGUUAAAUGAAGUUUACAUAAUUCUUAAAACACUACAUAGUAAAUUUAAAAAAAUAAUAAUAAUAAAUAACCAUGCAUUAUGUUUAAACUCAGCAUUUUAAGCAUGAAGAGAAAAUAAUAGGGUAGGUUACUGUGAGAGGGAACUGAAUCGAAGGUUUGAGGGAAAAAGAGACUCUUGAUUGUGUUUAUCAGAUAUAUUGCUAGCAAUUGCUGCUAUUAACUUGUGUCAGCAUUCUCAUGUUGGACCAUGAAGGGCAACAUUAUCUUUUAUCCCCUGAUGGAAGGUGUGCUUCAUUACUUGUAGCCUAUGUUUUCAAUGUUUUCAUGCCCUGAGGUGUAUUCUUGGUAAUUGGGUGUAUAUUAAACUCUCUGCCCUUGAGUUUUGAACUCUAAACUUUUACAUUACUGAAGUCCAUCACAACUUUUGAUACCUUGUGCUUAGUAUGAAUAACCCACCAUGUGUGCAUUUAACUAGCCAAAGCAAAGCACUGGGCUAGAGGCCUGCAGUUAUGAGAAAACCCUUAAUUCCUCCAGACCUCAAACUGGCUGCAAGCAUCAGGGGUUUAAUGAGGCUAUAACCAGUAGUUGCAUCACCACCAUUUAUUUAAGAAGAUUCGGACGGGGUUUUAAGUCAAGUCAAGUCACCUUUAUUUAUAUAGCGCUUUAAACAAAAUACAUUGUGUCAAAGCAACUGAACAACAUUCAUUAGGAAAACAGUGUGUCAAUAAUGCAAAAUACAUCCCUUACUUCACUGUACCCAAGAAAGGUGGUGGGUUAUGACUGAUCUUGGAUCUGCAAGUUUUUAAUAAGGCCCUUUAUCGGCUACCGUUCAAGAUGUUGAUGAAGAAAAACGCAUCUUCGGGUGCAUUCAUCCCCAAGAUUAGUUUGCAGCAUUUGACCUGAAGGAUGAGUACUUUCAUGUAUCGUUCCUUCCGCACCACAGACCUUUUCUGCGAUUUGCAUUCGAAGGACGGGCAUAUCAGUACAAGGUCCUGCUCUGCAGGCUGUCCCUGUCUCUCCGUGUCUUCACGAAGGUUGCGAAGGGGGCUCUUGUUCCACUCAGAGAGCAGGGUGUUAACAUUCUCAACUAUCUAGAUGAUUGGCUGAUACUAGCACAAGCUAUGGAUCUGUUGUGCGAGCACAGGGAUUUGGCCUGAGGUGGAAGAUACACCAGCCAGUUGCCAAACCCUCAUCCCGUGGUCAGAUCUCGUGAUUCUCUGGGCAGGGGUGCCCCUAGAGCAGAUCUCCAUGCAUUUUGUGGUUUACACAGAUGCCUCCGCCACCGGCUGGGGGGCCACGUGCAAUGGGCAUGAAGUCUCAGGGGUUUGGACGGACCUGCAGCUGCAGUGGCACAUCAAUCGAGUUGUUAGCAGUGUACCUUUCACUUGAACUGUCUCAAAGGUCACUUACGAGGCAAGCAUAUGCUGGUUUGAAUGGACAACACAGCGACCAUUGCGUACAUCAACUGACAAGGUGGUCUGUGCUCCCGUCCCAGCUAGCCCCCCACCACCGCCUUUAGAGUCUGAAGAUUCUGAGGUCAUUUAGCGCCAUUCACAUUCCGGGCCUGCUCAACUGUACAGCCGACGAGAUGUCUUGAGCAAUGCUCCCAGGGGAAUGGCGACUACAUCCCCUGAUGGUCUAGCUGAUUUGGAGAUGGUUUAGAACCACUCAGGUAGGCCUGUUUGCUUCUCCAGAGACCUCUCACUGCAAGUUGUUCUACUCCCUGACCGAGGAAACUCUUGGCACGGACGCACUGGCACACAGCUGGUCGUGGGGCCUACGCAAGUAUGCGUUUCCCCCAGUGAGUCUUCUCGCACAGACACUGUGCAAAGACCGGGAGGACGAGGAGCAAAUCUUGCUAGUGGCACUGUAUUGGCCCACUCGGACCUGGUUCCCCGAACUAGUGAUCCUCGCAACAGCCCCUCGUUGGCAAGGGAGGAAGGAUCUACUGACUCAGAGACGGGGCACCGUUUGGCACCUGCAUCCAGACCUUUGAAAACUCCAUGUCUUUUUUAUCUUGAUUGGCAGCGCACAUUGUUCGGCAUUUAGCACUAAGCAAAACCAAGAUGCACCACCCACCAUGUGUGCAUUUAACUAGCCAAAGCAAAGCUCUGGGCUAUAGAGGCCUGCAGUUAUGAGAAAACCCUUAAUUCCUCCAGACCUCAAACUGGCUGCAAGCAUCAGGGGUUUAAUGAGGCUAUAACCAGUAGUUGCAUCACCACCAUUUAUUUAAGAAGAUUCGGACGGGGUUUUAAGUCAAGUCAAGUCACCUUUAUUUAUAUAGCGCUUUAAACAAAAUACAUUGUGUCAAAGCAACUGAACAACAUUCAUUAGGAAAACAGUGUGUCAAUAAUGCAAAAUACAUCCCUUACUUCACUGUACCCAAGAAAGGUGGUGGGUUAUGACUGAUCUUGGAUCUGCAAGUUUUUAAUAAGGCCC
This 5924-nucleotide long non-coding RNA is filed under the name Carassius auratus (goldfish). Its description in RNAcentral is "lncRNA (ENSCARG00000063519.1)". Lineage: Eukaryota; Metazoa; Chordata; Actinopteri; Cypriniformes; Cyprinidae. The record is from RNAcentral.